AGUGAACGCUGGCGGUAGGCCUAACACAUGCAAGUCGAACGGCAGCACAGUAAGAGCUUGCUCUUACGGGUGGCGAGUGGCGGACGGGUGAGGAAUACAUCGGAAUCUACUUUUUCGUGGGGGAUAACGUAGGGAAACUUACGCUAAUACCGCAUACGACCUACGGGUGAAAGCAGGGGAUCUUCGGACCUUGCGCGAUUGAAUGAGCCGAUGUCGGAUUAGCUAGUUGGCGGGGUAAAGGCCCACCAAGGCGACGAUCCGUAGCUGGUCUGAGAGGAUGAUCAGCCACACUGGAACUGAGACACGGUCCAGACUCCUACGGGAGGCAGAAGUGGGGAAUAUUGGACAAUGGGCGCAAGCCUGAUCCAGCCAUACCGCGUGGGUGAAGAAGGCCUUCGGGUUGUAAAGCCCUUUUGUUGGGAAAGAAAAGCAGCAGGUUAAUACCCCGCUGUUCUGACGGUACCCAAAGAAUAAGCACCGGCUAACUUCGU
RNAcentral lists this ribosomal RNA (491 nucleotides) under uncultured bacterium. RNAcentral describes it as "partial 16S ribosomal RNA". It matches the Rfam family "Bacterial small subunit ribosomal RNA", at positions 29 to 506 of the family's 1533-position model. The record is from RNAcentral.